This 1427-nucleotide ribosomal RNA is filed under the name uncultured bacterium. RNAcentral's name for it is "16S ribosomal RNA". It matches the Rfam family "Bacterial small subunit ribosomal RNA". The record is from RNAcentral.
AGAGUUUGAUCAUGGCUCAGGACGAACGCUGGCGGCGUGCUUAACACAUGCAAGUCGAACGGUGAAGCGCCUUCCUUUUUGGUGGGUGUGGAUGAGUGGCGAACGGGUGAGUAACACGUGAGUAACCUGCCCCCUUCUUCUGGAUAACCGCAUGAAAGUGUGGCUAAUACGGGAUAUUCUGUGCCUGCUGCAUGGUGGGUGUGGGAAAGAUUGCGCUUUUUUGGUGUUUUUGGUGGGGGAUGGGCUCGCGGCCUAUCAGCUUGUUGGUGGGGUGAUGGCCUACCAAGGCGGUGACGGGUAGCCGGCCUGAGAGGGUGGACGGUCACACUGGGACUGAGACACGGCCCAGACUCCUACGGGAGGCAGCAGUGGGGAAUAUUGCACAAUGGGCGCAAGCCUGAUGCAGCGACGCCGCGUGAGGGAUGGAGGCCUUCGGAUUGUGAACCUCUUUCGCCAGUGAAGCAGGCCUGCUCCUUUUUUGUGGGUGGGUUGACGGUAGCUGGAUAAGAAGCGCCGGCUAACUACGUGCCAGCAGCCGCGGUAAUACGUAGGGCGCGAGCGCUGUCCGGAAUUAUCGGGCGUAAAGAGCUCGUAGGCGGCUGGUCGCGUCUGUCGUGAAAUCCUCUGGCUUAACUGGGGGCUUGCGGUGGGUACGGGCCGGCUUGAGUGCGGUAGGGGAGACUGGAACUCCUGGUGUAGCGGUGGAAUGCGCAGAUAUCAGGAAGAACACCGGUGGCGAAGGCGGGUCUCUGGGCCGUUACUGACGCUGAGGAGCGAAAGCGUGGGGAGCGAACAGGAUUAGAUACCCUGGUAGUCCACGCCGUAAACGUUGGGCACUAGGUGUGGGGGGCCUUUUCCGGGUUUUCCGCGCCGUAGCUAACGCAUUAAGUGCCCCGCCUGGGGAGUACGGCCGCAAGGCUAAAACUCAAAGGAAUUGACGGGGGCCCGCACAAGCGGCGGAGCAUGCGGAUUAAUUCGAUGCAACGCGAAGAACCUUACCAAGGCUUGACAUGUGCCGGUCGGCUCCGGAGACGGGGUUUCCUCCUUGUGGGGCCGGUUCACAGGUGGUGCAUGGUUGUCGUCAGCUCGUGUCGUGAGAUGUUGGGUUAAGUCCCGCAACGAGCGCAACCCUUGUCUCGUGUUGCCAGCACGUUGUGGUGGGGACUCGCGGGAGACUGCCGGGGUCAACUCGGAGGAAGGUGGGGAUGACGUCAAAUCAUCAUGCCCCUUAUGUCUUGGGCUUCACGCAUGCUACAAUGGCCGGUACAGAGGGCUGCGAUACCGUGAGGUGGAGCGAAUCCCUUAAAGCCGGUCCCAGUUCGGAUCGGUGUCUGCAACUCGACACCGUGAAGUUGGAGUCGCUAGUAAUCGCAGAUCAGCAACGCUGCGGUGAAUACGUUCUCGGGCCUUGUACACACCGCCCGUCA